UCGCGCGCUGCGGUAACGCUCCGCCGUGGGAGCCGGCGGAGAAGCAGGGGCAGGCGGCGCUUGGGCAGGAGGCCGGUUUAUUGAAACCUUGUGAUAGCCAUUUCUGGAGAAUUUUGUGGAAGACCUGUGUUUCUCUGACGUGAAGUGCUGCAGCAUUUCCCAGGCCUGGGCCUUGUGAGUCCAUGCCCACAGAGGUGAGAUCGGUCUUGUCCCAGCGCCCCCCUGAGAGGACGAACCGCUUCUGCCGGUUCCGCCCGCUCUGGCCAUCCAGCAGCGUGGGGAGAUCCGGCACGCCGCACCGGGGCGGGUUCCAGCCUGUCACCUGCUCCUCUGCACCCACGGGGAAGCCCUUGGGCACACCAGUCCCCACAGCGUUCACCAAGGAAGAAAGCCAGGGACUCUGCUCCUUCCAGGUGUGGUGUUUUCGAGACACAUCCUGAAAGAGAAAAGAAAAGGCGUUACUUCAGUGUCUGGGAUGAGAACUCCUGAUGCAGAGUGGCAGAUGUUUCUCCACAGCAGUCCUGCAGUGGAGCAGGAGAUGCUGGCCAGCCACACCAAGGCACAUGAGGAGCAGGAGUGGAGGUGGAUCCUGGGGAGAGCCCUGGCUGUGGAGCUCGAGGCAUUGUGAAGCCCUCAAGGAACUGCUCAGGUGACAGCCUCAUGAACUGAUCUCUCCAGCAUCACCACUCAAUGGAUGACAAAUGGGAAUGCAUCCUCACCAGCAGUUGCUGAACUCUGGGACUGCACUAUCACAAACUCUUCACAUAAAAGCCUCAGCUCCAGGGAAGCACCCAGAGACAAAACUGAAGACUCCAAAGAACAGUCUACGAGAAACACCGCAAGAGCUUGCACAAGGUUGGGAAUGAAUCCAGCACUACGUACACAGUGUCCGGCCUUUACAGAGAGCUGCGGUGUUCACUCAGCACCAAUUUUGCAAAGCCCAGACAAGUGUACAGUGUUCCUGUGGAGGAGCGCAUGGAUGGCCUGUGCAUGGAGUUCAGCACUCUCUGUGGUGGAGGUGGCAACUGAAAGAAGAGCGUUUCAGCAGAAGUCAUGACAAGCCAGGGUGCUCUCAGCAGGACUUUCCUGUGCUUCUGUAAGGGUUAUUAACCCUCCAUGGGAAAAGGAGACACCAGUAGCUUCGUCUACAGAAGAAGGAAAAGAUGGACUCGGGUAUUUAAUUACCAACUGAGAACUGGCUGUUGGAAGCUGAUGGGUUGGACAGUGUCAGUAGGGCAGAAGAGAGCAACGUAGUCAUUGAAACUCAUGAGACAUUCUGGAGAGCUAUGAGACAAAAGACCUGAAUCACAGGUGGUUGUGAACUGUUUGCGUAGAGGCUGGACUAUCUCACAGCAUCUUUCAGCCUGCCAUGCAGGCUAUAUCUUGCUUGGGAGGGGAGGUUGCGGGGAGGUAGUCUGUUACAGGCUGUAAUAUUGUAGUUCAAAGCAGUAGCUGUUCAUGCGAGUUGGUGCUAACAGCCUCAUGAAAGGUCACAGAUGCCUCUGCCAUACACAAAACUGUCCUCACUUCCUUAUUUGCUCAUGUGCAUUUUACUACAGACUCCUCUGAGCUGUAAGGCCCUACACAGAGCUCUGCUCGGGAAAACCGCUGAGAGCAGCUCUCUGGAGAUGUUUGCUGUGUGUCUGCAACAGAGAGAAGAGAAAUGAGACCAGCCGGGGAGCAGCUGCGGAAGAAUGGAGGGAAAUGGCCUCUGGGAAGACAUUUGGAUGAGAAGGAAAUGCCAAGCCCCAAGCCCAUCAACCGGGACAGCGCAGGUAAAACAGGGAGCGCUCUCAAGGUGCGAGAGCCCUCUGGGGCCUGCUCAGCACUGUACUCUCCUGCAAGGCGGGGGAAGCUCACUGCUUUAGACUCCAUGGAACAGCCCAGCAGAUCCCAUCCGGGGGAGGAGAGGCAGCGAGCUGCAGCACCUUGUUGCUCAGAUCACUCAGGUACACACCAGGCAAACCUGCACUGGCUUUUUAAUCAUCACUACUUACAGGAGGAAUCUGCAGCCAUGAAGGAAACAAAACAAAAACUCUGUGCUCUGUUUUGCUGUCUUGUAUUUAGUAGGUGAAUUCACAGAGCUCACAGUAUUUGCACUGUAGUUCUCAUGAGUUUAUAAUGGAGAUGUUUUUGAAGAAAUAAUUGCUUGAAUAGGACUAUGUGAGGAACUUCAGGACAUGCAAGCCCUUCUUUAAGUCACAGCUAAUGACAGUAGCUCUCAGCUGUCAUCAGAACAUGCCACCAAGCAUGCAAGCUCCACGGCUGGAUGUGUGAAUAAAAAGAGCGGUUGCUCUUCUGAGAUGCAGCUGUCACUAGGGAAGAAGAGAUUUGGGGAACUGCUCACCCUACUGCCCCCUCUUUCCCCACCAGAUGAUGAGGGCAAAUCCCUCCUCCAAGGUUUGGUGCUCAUGAAUAAACAGUUAAUCAUUAAGAAGCUCCUCCUUUUCUCGACUCAAGAGCUAUCCAGACAGCCUGGGCUAGCAGGUGACUGUACAGCAGCUGGGAGGCAAAAGGCCAAACCAGGUUCCAGGAGAAAUGAAUCUAGCUCCCACAUCUGGUACCCUCCUCCAGAAGCUAGCUACCAGUGCAGGCUUAGGUGGAACAGGAAUGCAGCCAGGUGUACUUACACCUCUCCGGAUCCCUGAGCAUGGCUGACAGAACCCUCCUCUGAUGGGGAAGGACUCUCCAAAAAACCAGAGCAGAGCUAGCUGAUAGCUCAGAUGUGCUCCAAAAAUCAGGCCCUGCGGUUCAAAUGGAAAACACUCAUGACAUGGAUGGAUUCAAGUCAGGAAGAGCCUUCAGACCAAAAGCGGGCUAUCAUGAAUGAGUUAAAAUCCUUUCAUUUACUUCAUGAAAUUUAUUGAAAACUACAUUGUUCAUCUGCUGAAACUUCACAGCUGUUAAGAUUGCCCUCAGGGCAAACCACAUCCAAGAAAUGGCAUGUACGUCUUGGGAGCACAAGACUUGAAAGCUGAAACUGCGCUCUGCAGUGCUGCCUUCAGUUCCCUUGCAGUCACGUCUAACCAUCUGCAGCUCUUCCAGUUAGACGAUGCUUUUUUUUCUUUCUCCUUUUUCUCAUCUCUGACUCUUGCAGUACAAUCAACCUUGCAAUACAAUUAUUUCAUUUUGCAACAUUGUAUUUUGGCUAAAAAGGAUAGCAAAAAGUCUGUGUGGGGAGAGUGCUCACAGCACAUAGCAUUUAAUGUGGGAUACAGCUAUGUGUCAUGCAGCAAUGGCUAUGCCAUCUAAUUGCAUCUGUCUCUGAUAUUACCACUUUGUUAUGCCUUGGAGAAACUGGGACUGAGGGAUUACUGCAGAAAAUGUGCCCAUUUGUUCAUCAGAAAUUUGUGAAUUCCUUUCAGUGGCAGCAGCUUUCCUGAUUUUUUUUUCUGUGUCAAUUUGCAAACUUUUGCUUGCAAAAACCUUUAAAGGAUAAAAAAGUACUGCUUGCAUAUUUACAUCAAACUUGAAAGCUCCAUGUGGACCUGGGAGACUGAAAUCAACCCCCCAGCACAAACAAAAUUAGGAUUAGCCCGAGCUCAAAAAUUAAAAUAAAAGCAGGACACGAGAAACCCACUGGCUGCAAUAUAUUCAGUCAUAAAUGAUUCAUGGAGUAAUUCUGAGUAACAAACACACUGGGCAGAAGGAGUCUCCAAAGAUGGAGUGAGCAACCAGGCCUGUCCCUGGGAGACACCGAGCAGGCACAUGGGCCUGCAAAGGCCCGGGAGUCCAGCUGGGAUGCCAGAGGAGAGAUGAUUUUCAGGAUAUUGGUUUGAAGAAAAUACUGAGAGUGGAAAAACAGAUGCUGAAGAUGUGGCUGUGUUUGCUGGGCAGGCAUGGAAAGCCAGGCUGCGUCUUGAUCACACCCCACUGGGAUGUUGUUCCAGACAAACGAGGAGUUUCCAGACUGAUAAAGGACCACAGAAAACUCCCACAGAUUUUGCCAGUCACCGUGCCUCGUCUUGAAAUCACGGCUCUGAACACAAGAGUCCAGUGAAUUACCUGAAGCUAACGUGGGGCUUUCCUGAAAAAUCCCUCAGUAUUACCCCAGCCUGCCUAAUCCUCUGGGUGUUUGUUGUUCCCACUGGCCGCCUGCUCCUUCAGCCGCCCCUCUCCAGACGGUGACAGCUUGCGGGCAAGAAACAACAAAGGCCCCGUGCAAGAUUCUCUGGUGAUAAUACGUGUGCUGAUGGAAAGCGGUGGUGAUUUCCAGACAAUAACAGGGAGAAGGGGUAGGAAACCAGCCGCCGGCGGAUGUGGUAUCUCUCACCUCUCUGUUAUGGGUUGAAGCUCUUAUUUCUGAGCACAGUCAGACUGUCUGCACUGGGUCUGUUUGCACAUGCUGCCGUGAACCUGCAGCUGCGCUCACAGCAUCGCCAUCGCUGUGCCUUGGUGAACAAGCUGUCUGGAACUGCGUGGUAAAGGUGGAGAGGUUUCCCACAGGUUCCCCUUGGAUUCGAACACCUCUUCUCCAUGCCCUCCCACCAGGAAAAGGAAUCCGCUUCCACAGGAAACUUCUCCUUUCCGGGACAAGCGUUUUCCCAUUCCAGAGAGGUGAGAAUGGCUUGCAGUUGAAAUGAAACAGCAGGUCAGCAACAUAUUUCACUUGUUAAUGACCUUCGGAAACAUUCAGGAUCUCUGCCUGGGGGCAGGUUCUGUAGCAGAGGUGAAGUAGGUGUGUUAUAAGGUCACAGCAGGAAAACUACCUUUUCCUUCCAGAACAGAAUGGGAGAAACACUCACAUUUUUGGAUAUCAUUUAUAACAGAAAAGAAUAGGAUGAAACUGCAGGCAAGAAGGCCAAAAUAUAGUAAAAAGGGAGUAAGAA
Molecule: long non-coding RNA, 4829 nt
Organism: Dromaius novaehollandiae (emu)
Lineage: Eukaryota; Metazoa; Chordata; Aves; Casuariiformes; Dromaiidae
Exons: 8
Source: RefSeq, a predicted model, not a curated record